CUUAAUUCUAGAAUGAAGAAGACCGAGUUUCAACUCGCAAUGGAACCCACAGCGCAAUGAGUUUUCAUCUCAAACGAGAGCGAGAGCAAGAGCGUAAGAUGGUGAGAGAACGAAAUGAGAGAAAUGGUGAGAGAAAGCGCCGCAUAACGGUGCCGGCUGACGGUGGUUGUCGAACGGCAUUUCGCUCGCAACUACAACUACAACGCACUUGACCGGAUUCCAAUUGCCUUUGUUCGCAAAAGUUUCCAGUUUCGAGUGCACAUCCAAUCCCGGAAUAACGGAAUAACAGCAUAACGGAAUAACGGCAUAACGAAAUCCCGCAAUCCGCGACGCAGAUUAAAGUAGGGUAGGAAGUCAAGUGGCGGUCGAAAGGAGUGCAAGUACAGCAACUACUUACAGUAAGGGGUAACAUCAUCAAAAUUUGCAAAAAUUGGCAAAAUUAUAAAAUGUCUAAAUUUGAUUCUCCAUCGAUUGAGGGUCAAAUUACGAGACCAACGAGGUAUGACACUCCGUAUUUGGACAAAGAAUUUUAAUGAUAUGGCCAAAAAUCUGACCAUUUUGGAGAGAAAAUCAGUAGACGGGUAUGUAUCAGUCCUUCGAUUUUGCCCAUUGUGCGAGGCCUACGCAUUGUUUUCCUAGCAGGAAUGGACGAUGGCCGGAGGAGGGGAUCGUCGGAGGGGGGGUAAUGAACAGCGUGUGAAAAGUGUCACUGGCCGUGUACGUGUGUGCGUGAUAUGUGUGUGCGAGCGGGAGAUGCCGAUGCCUCAAUUGCGGUUCAUUUAUGUGGAGCACUGAGAGCAGCGGCCUGGAGCAAAAACAAAAACAUUCAACGGGAGCGAACGGAAGUGCGCAGCUCUCCCCGGCGCUCUUGCUUCCGCUUCCUGUUGGGAUGUGCUGGAAUUUCAGCGCACAGGACACUGAGAGAGAGCCCACUCGAGAGAGGAUGCGGAGGACAUGGACGCGGCACCCAUGUGCUUGGGGGAUGAGCGAACCCUUUGCCCGGAAAGCGUGUCAUUGUGUUUUGCUCUAGAGGAG
Drosophila mauritiana is the source of this 1035-nucleotide long non-coding RNA. RefSeq lists it as uncharacterized. The transcript has 3 exons. The record is from RefSeq and is a predicted model, not a curated record. NCBI's taxonomy places the organism in Eukaryota, Metazoa, Arthropoda, Insecta, Diptera, Drosophilidae.